CCUACGGGGGGCAGCAGUGGGGAAUAUUGGGCAAUGGGCGCAAGCCUGACCCAGCAACGCCGCGUGAAGGAAGAAGGCUUUCGGGUUGUAAACUUCUUUUAAGAGGGAAGAGCAGAAAACGGUACCUCUUGAAUAAGCCACGGCUAACUACGUGCCAGCAGCCGCGGUAAUACGUAGGUGGCAAGCGUUGUCCGGAUUUAGUGGGGGUAAAGGGCUUGCAGCCGGGAAGACAAGUCAGAGGUGAAAUCCCGCGGCUCAACCGGGGAACUGCCUUUGAAACUGGUAAUCUUGAGUGCGGGAGAGGUCAGCGGAAUUCCAGGUGUAGCGGUGAAAUGCGUAGAUAUAAGGAAGAACACCAGUGGCGAAGGCGGAUGACUGGACGGCAACUGACGGUGAGGCGCGAAAGCGUGGGGAGCAAACAGGAUUAGAUACCCUUGUAGUC
Molecule: ribosomal RNA, 442 nt
Filed under: uncultured bacterium
Lineage: Bacteria
Description: partial 16S ribosomal RNA
Rfam family: Bacterial small subunit ribosomal RNA
Source: RNAcentral